Non-coding RNA from Pseudomonas aeruginosa PAO1, 269 nucleotides. The record is from Rfam. Lineage: Bacteria; Pseudomonadati; Pseudomonadota; Gammaproteobacteria; Pseudomonadales; Pseudomonadaceae.
ACAUGUGUAGGGUGGAGAUGUACGGCUGUUGGACUGCGUAGCUUCUAGCUUGAUCCAGACGCAUUUUUCGUCCGCCUCCGACAGCCGAUUCCUCCUCCUGACUCAAGUGCUUCUGAAACACAGGAAGCAGGAGACGUAGUCGCGGACCGGCACCCAGUGCCGAGCGCCGCUGGACACGGGAAUGGCCCGCCAUUCCUGAAUACGCGCCCGAGCACCGACCGUGAGAGUCGUGUGUGCCGAUCGCCGUUUCCGGUAGCCCCGGAAACCAU